UACAGAGGUCCCAAGCGUUGUUCGGAUUCACUGGGCGUAAAGGGUGCGUAGGCGGUCGGGUAAGUCUGAUGUGAAAUCUCACAGCUUAACUGUGAAACUGCAUUGGAUACUAUCCGGCUCGAGGAGUGGAGGGGAGACUGGAAUACUUGGUGUAGCAGUGAAAUGCGUAGAUAUCAAGUGGAACACCAGUGGCGAAGGCGAGUCUCUGGGCAUUAACUGACGCUGAGGAGCGAAAGCAUGGGGAGCGAACAGG
Molecule: ribosomal RNA, 253 nt
Filed under: uncultured bacterium
Lineage: Bacteria
Description: partial 16S ribosomal RNA
Rfam family: Bacterial small subunit ribosomal RNA
Source: RNAcentral